CCUACGGGAGGCAGCAGUGGGGAAUAUUGGACAAUGGGCGAAAGCCUGAUCCAGCCAUGCCGCGUGUGUGAAGAAGGCCUUCGGGUUGUAAAGCACUUUCAGUGGGGAAGAAAGCCUUGGGGCUAAUACCCUCGAGGAAGGACAUCACCCACAGAAGAAGCACCGGCUAACUCCGUGCCAGCAGCCGCGGUAAUACGGAGGGUGCGAGCGUUAAUCGGAAUUACUGGGCGUAAAGCGCGCGUAGGCGGUCUGAUAAGCCGGUUGUGAAAGCCCCGGGCUCAACCUGGGGACGGCAUCCGGAACUGUCAGGCUAGAGUGCAGGAGAGGAAGGUAGAAUUCCCGGUGUAGCGGUGAAAUGCGUAGAGAUCGGGAGGAAUACCAGUGGCGAAGGCGGCCUUCUGGACUGACACUGACGCUGAGGUGCGAAAGCGUGGGUAGCAAACAGGAUUAGAUACCCGAGUAGUC
RNAcentral lists this ribosomal RNA (465 nucleotides) under Vreelandella stevensii. RNAcentral's name for it is "partial 16S ribosomal RNA". It matches the Rfam family "Bacterial small subunit ribosomal RNA", at positions 338 to 795 of the family's 1533-position model. The record is from RNAcentral. Lineage: Bacteria; Pseudomonadati; Pseudomonadota; Gammaproteobacteria; Oceanospirillales; Halomonadaceae.